AGGGAGAUGAUGAUGGAAAGCCUGCCCUGAGGAAAUGCUUGCCAUUUGCCAUUCAGUCUGUAAAGCCACGCAUGCAUCUUCCUGAGAAUGGUUGCACGUGUGUGGCGUUGCAGGCUGUUAGCUGCUUGGGCAGGGAUCUCUCCAUGCGGGGUGGCAAGUCCCCAGGAAAGCCAUUUUCUGGUGGAAGAAAGGCCGGGGGGACUUCUCAGAGGUAAGGAGCCUUCAAAUGUACGGGGACCCCUAACUCAUGCGCCAAGCAUGCGAGACAAAUGUCCGUGGCACGAAGAUCGAGGACGACUUCUCAGAGCUCGCACAUCAGCGCUGCUCCGCGAAGCCCUGACUGCCGCUCUGCUUCCGCGCAUGCGCGGAGCCGGCCGGCUCGUCUAAGGAGGGGGAGCCGGGCGGCACCGCAGGACCCCUGCCCGCGGCAAAAUGGCGGCGCCCUUCUCCGGAACGGGAGCCGCGCCGCGCCCGGCACGGCACGGGACGCCGAGGCGCGGUACCUCUCCGGGAAGGGACUGGACGGGACGGGACGACGCGGCGACGGGCAGGCGGUUGGGGCGCCACGCGGUGGGCGGGUUCUGCGGAAAAGGCCCUUCUGCGGGGCGGGGGCGGCGCCGGAGCGGACCAGAGCGGACCGAGCGUGCUGCGAGGGCAGAAGCAGCUCCCCACCGCUAGGACCCCUGUGGGUUUUGUUGCCGAGCAAAGGUGGCACACCGGGUAAACCGAGAAAAGCUGCAGCUGGUGUGCUGCAGUUGCAGGUUUCCCAGGAGAAAGAGCAGCUCGUCUGUCCCGACUGUUCAGGCUGAAGCGUGACAGAGCCCUGCUGCUGGCUUGCAGAUCAGUGCCGAGCUACCGGAAGGAGGUUUUUAUGUACUUUUCCACUUCCUUCAAAGGGAAGUUGAAGCACAAACAAGCUGACUGAGAACACUCCAAAGUGGUAGACGUGAGACUUUUUGUAGGACGCCAGGUCUUUUCCCCUGUGAGCGGAAGGAAAGCUUGUUCGGGCACAGGUAUCUAUCACAGAGGGAUGCAGCUCUCUCGUUACCACUUCUGCUGACUCCUGAAGCGAUCCUCUGCGCUGGUCUGAUAUCCCUGCCUGUCUGUGGCAAAAGAGUUUGUCCCUCAGAUUGCAGAAGCAGCAUUGUGGAAUUUAGGUUGUGGUAGGUAUCGAGGCUGUAUUCAUGAAAUCUCAUCCAUCUCAAGUGUAGUGGUUUAACCUGGCCAGCAGCCAAACACCACACAGCUGUUCGCUCACCCUCCCCUCUCCCUCUCUGGGAUGGGGGAGAGAAACAGGAAAGUGAAGCCUGUGGGUUGAGAUAAGGACAGUUUAUUAAGACGGGAAAAUAAUAACAAUAAUAAUGAUGAUGAUGAUAGUAUUACUAAUAAUAAUGUGUACGAAACAAGUGAUGCACAAUGCAAUUGCUCACCACCCGCUGACCGAUGCCCAGCCUAU
This 1456-nucleotide long non-coding RNA is filed under the name Anser cygnoides (Swan goose). RNAcentral describes it as "lncRNA (ENSACDG00005006689.1)". The record is from RNAcentral. Lineage: Eukaryota; Metazoa; Chordata; Aves; Anseriformes; Anatidae.